GUCAAAAUAGGUUUGGGUUGAAAUAGAUCAGACCUGGUGGCUUUGCUCCUAUUGGCAAAAAGGUUGCAAGCGAAGAUGAUACAAUUCCCGAAAAGACUCCACCGAAACUUUAUUGCAUUGCUGACGGUCAGGUUAAGGAUGUAGAUGGUGAAAUUUUGAAAUCUUUACUGGAAAACAACAAAUGCUAUCUAUUGGACUGCGGUUCCGAGGUGUUUGUUUGGGUCGGUCGAGUAACACAAGUGGAUGAAAGAAAAGCUGCCAUGCAGGCUGCUGAGGAGUUCAUUACAGGCCAAAGUCGGCCCAUGGCAACGCGUGUAACUCGGCUUAUUCAAGGUUAAGAAACAUAUUCAUUUAAGUCAAACUUCGA
Molecule: long non-coding RNA, 367 nt
Organism: Helianthus annuus (common sunflower)
Lineage: Eukaryota; Viridiplantae; Streptophyta; Magnoliopsida; Asterales; Asteraceae
Exons: 3
Source: RefSeq, a predicted model, not a curated record